RNAcentral lists this transfer RNA (72 nucleotides) under bacterium. Its description in RNAcentral is "tRNA-Val". It matches the Rfam family "tRNA". Rfam says of the family: Transfer RNA (tRNA) molecules are approximately 80 nucleotides in length. Their secondary structure includes four short double-helical elements and three loops (D, anti-codon, and T loops). The record is from RNAcentral.
GAGCCCAUAGCUCAGCGGUAGAGCGUUCGGUUCACAUCCGAAAGGUCGAUGGUUCGAAUCCAUCUGGACUCA